ACAUGCAAGUCGAACGAAGUAGCAAUACUUAGUGGCAGACGGGUGAGUAACAUGUGGGUAUCUGCCCUUUGGCCUGGAAUAACACGAGGAAACUUGUGCUAAUACCGGAUAAGUCUUUACAGAGAAAGCUUUAUGCACCAUUGGAUGAGCCCGCACUUGAUUAGUUUGUUGGUGGGGUAAUGGCCUACCAAGACUUUGAUCAAUAGCUGAUUUGAGAGGAUGAUCAGCCACAUUGGGACUGAGACACGGCCCAAACUCCUACGGGAGGCAGCAGUGGGGAAUCUUGCACAAUGGAGGAAACUCUGAUGCAGCGAUGCCGCGUGAGUGAAGAAGGCCCUUGGGUUGUAAAGCUCUUUCGUCGGGGAAGAAAAUGACUGUACCCGAAUAAGAAGGUCCGGCUAACUUCGUGCCAGCAGCCGCGGUAAUACGAAGGGACCUAGCGUAGUUCGGAAUUACUGGGCUUAAAGAGUUCGUAGGUGGUUGAAAAAGUUGGUGGUGAAAUCCCAGAGCUUAACUCUGGAACUGCCAUCAAAACUUUUCAGCUAGAGUUUGAUAGAGGAAAGCAGAAUUUCUAGUGUAGAGGUGAAAUUCGUAGAUAUUAGAAAGAAUACCAAUUGCGAAGGCAGCUUUCUGGAUCAUUACUGACACUGAGGAACGAAAGCAUGGGUAGCGAAGAGGAUUAGAUACCCUCGUAGUCCAUGCCGUAAACGAUGUGUGUUAGACGUUGGAAAUUUAUUUUCAGUGUCGCAGCGAAAGCGAUAAACACACCGCCUGGGG
RNAcentral lists this ribosomal RNA (777 nucleotides) under uncultured Pelagibacteraceae bacterium. RNAcentral's name for it is "bacterial SSU rRNA". It matches the Rfam family "Bacterial small subunit ribosomal RNA", at positions 53 to 878 of the family's 1533-position model. The record is from RNAcentral. Lineage: Bacteria; Pseudomonadati; Pseudomonadota; Alphaproteobacteria; Candidatus Pelagibacterales; Candidatus Pelagibacteraceae.